AAACGACUCUCGGCAACGGAUAUCUCGGCUCACGCAUCGAUGAAGAACGUAGCAAAAUGCGAUACUUGGUGUGAAUUGCAGAAUCCCGUGAACCAUCGAGUUUUUGAACGCAAGUUGCGCCCGAMGCCUCUGGUUGAGGGCACGUCUGCCUGGGCGUCACGUA
RNAcentral lists this ribosomal RNA (163 nucleotides) under Wamalchitamia aurantiaca. RNAcentral's name for it is "5.8S ribosomal RNA". It matches the Rfam family "5.8S ribosomal RNA". From Rfam's summary of the family: 5.8S ribosomal RNA (5.8S rRNA) is a component of the large subunit of the eukaryotic ribosome. It is transcribed by RNA polymerase I as part of the 45S precursor that also contains 18S and 28S rRNA. Functionally, it is thought that 5.8S rRNA may be involved in ribosome translocation. Lineage: Eukaryota; Viridiplantae; Streptophyta; Magnoliopsida; Asterales; Asteraceae. The record is from RNAcentral.